CUGCCAAGCCGGAAGAGCCUUCUCAGUGGGUGUCUCUCAGAGGAAAGAACAGAUGUGUGACCUGAAAUGAACUGGUUUUGGGGUGAAAGCCUCUGGUGUCGCUGGCACCUGCUGCCUGCAAACAGUACCUGUGAGCUGCUGUUGCCCAGUGAACAGAUGUCACAGGGAGAUUCUGUAGGUCACUAAAUGUUCAUAGACUGAUCAGCUUAGGAGACAUCCUGUAAGGUGUCUCACCUGGCUUGAGGUGGUCAAGACCCUGAGACGCCCUAGAAAUGAAAGACACUUCUCAGAUGUCUCUGCCAGCUCCAACUCUACCAGCUCCAGUGCUCUAGGCUGAAGUGCUUCUGGAUAAAGCCUUCUGGACCUUCACUUUCCUGCUCUUCCCACAUUUAUGUAAGCCCUAAUUUCUGUAUUAAACUAUUUUCCCUAAAAAACUUGUAGUGGUUCUAU
RNAcentral lists this long non-coding RNA (450 nucleotides) under Homo sapiens (human). Its description in RNAcentral is "HSALNT0143987". The record is from RNAcentral. Lineage: Eukaryota; Metazoa; Chordata; Mammalia; Primates; Hominidae.